This 795-nucleotide long non-coding RNA is filed under the name Homo sapiens (human). RNAcentral's name for it is "HSALNT0018315". The record is from RNAcentral. Lineage: Eukaryota; Metazoa; Chordata; Mammalia; Primates; Hominidae.
UUUAGCACCGGGCCAUCUGGUGCCUCUGUCCCCUUUUGUGUGCCUGCGGGGAGAGGAGGGGAAGUGAAGGGGGAGGAGACAGGAGAUCUCUCUGGCCAGCUUUCUUCUGAAUUGAGGAGAAGGAGGAGUUUGAGACAGAGGGGAGCAGGGCCUGGGAAAGAGGUGGAGGGGACUCUAGGCUUGGGACUUAGGAGGAAAGGAGGAGGGAGACAUGAGAGAUGGGGGGGAGAAAGAAAGCCCAGAAGGAACGGACGCUCUAGGAUCCUGGGUACGAGAGCUCAAAGGGAGAAGAGAGCAGAGAGAGCAAGCCAGAACCAGAAUGCUGUGUGGAGAGGAAAGGGAGUGCUGCAGAAGAGGGAAGAAAAGCACUCAGGAAAGAACGAUGUCCAGGAGUUGAAAGGGGUGCAAGACUCUCUCCAAGUACAAUGUGCUUUGAAGCACCUGUCCCCUGCCGGAUGGCAGAACAUCCCGUGUCUUCCAUCAGGUCCCAAUGGCGUGGCAUGAAUGAUGCAGACACAGGAAUAACAAUAAAAGCAUGUGGCUUUGUGCUUCUCUGGUGCCAUGUUCAUUUGGGCUCACGGUCUGCAUUUGGUGUAGUCACAGAGGACACAGAGAAUGGGCUAUUUUCUCUGCUGAGGACAAUACAGACUGGACUUGGGUUGAAUGCCUGCCUUUCCCUGGCUCUGUUCCUGGAGCCCGCUCAGAGUUGAGCUCCUCUCCCUGCUGAGUUCUUCCAGGCAGUGGCCCCCUCCCUCUACACUCUGGCCCUGAGGUGUGGUUAGCCCAAAAUCUGCC